GAUGAACGCUGGCGGCGUGCCUAAUACAUGCAAGUCGAGCGAACGGACGAGAAGCUUGCUUUUCUGAUGUUAGCGGCGGACGGGUGAGUAACACGUGGAUAACCUACCUAUAAGACUGGGAUAACUUCGGGAAACCGGAGCUAAUACCGGAUAAUAUUUUGAACCGCAUGGUUCAAAAGUGAAAGACGGUCUUGCUGUCACUUAUAGAUGGAUCCGCGCUGCAUUAGCUAGUUGGUAAGGUAACGGCUUACCAAGGCAACGAUGCAUAGCCGACCUGAGAGGGUGAUCGGCCACACUGGAACUGAGACACGGUCCAGACUCCUACGGGAGGCAGCAGUAGGGAAUCUUCCGCAAUGGGCGAAAGCCUGACGGAGCAACGCCGCGUGAGUGAUGAAGGUCUUCGGAUCGUAAAGCUCUGUUAUUAGGGAAGAACAUAUGUGUAUGUAGCUGUGCACAUCUUGACGGUACCUAAAGAGAAAGCCACGGCUAACUUCGUG
RNAcentral lists this ribosomal RNA (497 nucleotides) under uncultured bacterium. Its description in RNAcentral is "partial 16S ribosomal RNA". It matches the Rfam family "Bacterial small subunit ribosomal RNA", at positions 28 to 507 of the family's 1533-position model. The record is from RNAcentral.